GGGCAUCGUGAUGAACGAUCUGGUGUCGUCUGCCGCUCAUAACGGUCUGGUUGCAGGUUCGAGUCCUGCCGGGCCCACCA
RNAcentral lists this transfer RNA (80 nucleotides) under Tardiphaga sp. vice278. Its description in RNAcentral is "tRNA-Met". Lineage: Bacteria; Pseudomonadati; Pseudomonadota; Alphaproteobacteria; Hyphomicrobiales; Nitrobacteraceae. The record is from RNAcentral. RNAcentral also lists the same sequence under 2 other names.